This is a long non-coding RNA of Xenia sp. Carnegie-2017, 397 nucleotides long. RefSeq lists it as uncharacterized. Lineage: Eukaryota; Metazoa; Cnidaria; Anthozoa; Malacalcyonacea; Xeniidae. The transcript is spliced from 2 exons. The record is from RefSeq and is a predicted model, not a curated record.
ACAGCAAAUCUCUUCAAAUCUCUGUGCUGUUUUUGUAUCACUUUUUAUUAAAUACUUUUUGAAGGAUAUUGAAAAAUAUGAGAAAUGUCCCAAUGAUUUCAUUGUCAUGGAACAUAAAUGUUUCAGUAACAAGGAUGCCACAAUGGAAAGAAAUAAACGGCGCAGAACUUUGCACACAUUGUUUACUCUGCAUUGAUCUAAGUUUAUCAACACAAAGGAAUAUUUUAUUGUAUAUUUAUACAAUGUUUUUAAGGUGAUGCAAUAAUCUGUGGUUGCAAAUUAACCAAGGCUGCACAGAUAGACGCAACAGAAUAAAUAUAUGGUUUCAUUGUUAAUGGGAUUACACCUUGUAAUAUACUAAAUGACUUCAGUCGUUGAAUAAUACUUUCAAUGUGAA